GACAGAGGCCUCAAGCGUUAGGCGGAAUCACUGGGCUUAAAGCGUGUGUAGGCGGACGCCUAAGUGUCUUGUGAAAUCCCCCGGCUCACCCGGGGAACUGCUGGGCAUACUGGGCGUCUUGGGCCAACUAGGGGCAACUGGAACAAGCGGUGGAGCGGUGAAAUGCGCAGAUAUCAGGAGGAAUACCAGCGGCGAAGGCGGCGCUCUGGGCCGGUACUGACGCUGAGGAGCGAAAGCGUGGGGAGCAAACAGG
This 253-nucleotide ribosomal RNA is filed under the name uncultured bacterium. RNAcentral describes it as "partial 16S ribosomal RNA". It matches the Rfam family "Bacterial small subunit ribosomal RNA", at positions 524 to 776 of the family's 1533-position model. The record is from RNAcentral.